AUGUCCCUUCAUUCUUCAACUGCCAUUCCAGGGGACAUGUGUCCAUGCUGAUGACAGGUUCUGCUCAAUAACAACUCAAAGCAGCUUUCUUUUUUGGUUCUGUUUGGGUAUUUUAGUUUCUGCA
Gopherus evgoodei (Goodes thornscrub tortoise) is the source of this 124-nucleotide long non-coding RNA. RefSeq lists it as uncharacterized. The transcript has 3 exons. The record is from RefSeq and is a predicted model, not a curated record. NCBI's taxonomy places the organism in Eukaryota, Metazoa, Chordata, Testudines, Testudinidae.